RNAcentral lists this long non-coding RNA (202 nucleotides) under Mustela putorius furo (domestic ferret). RNAcentral's name for it is "lncRNA (ENSMPUG00000026577.1)". The record is from RNAcentral. Lineage: Eukaryota; Metazoa; Chordata; Mammalia; Carnivora; Mustelidae.
CUCAAUUCAAGCUUCUGUUUCAAAGUCCUGCCUUGGAGUCAGGUUGCGCAGGAGACUGCGGUAAUGUGAAAUCAGCAGCAAAAUUUGGUAAGAGUAGAAACACUAAUGGAAGCAUCCUUCAUGUGUCUGAGAUCAGUUGCAAAGCAAGUGCCCAGGUAAGGACAGAAAGGUAAAUGCACUAGGCCUUGUGUUUUCAUUAAAU